CGGACCGUCGUGUGCACCCACCGCUUCCGACAGCGCCCCGGCCCCUCCACCGCCGCCCGCGGCUCUUCCACCUUGCGCGGAGUGGAGUUUUGCAAAGUCCUGGUUUCUCUCUCUUCGUGUGUGAGAGCGAGAGCUUUCGGACAGCGCCUGGGGCCUGCGCCGGGGGAAGGACGAAAGGAAGGAAGGCUUGCUUCGGGACCAGGGAGAGAAGUCACGGAGAGGAAGUCUAGCUUUGAGUCCGGAAAGAUUAACACCCCAACCUUGAUGGUCUACUAUCGUGGCAUUCUUCUUCGCACCCCUUCUGCCCACCUCAAAGAAGGCUCAAGAAGGUAAAGAGACAGCAGCCUGGACCUGCCUUAACCGAAGGCCCUUUUUUCAGCCAGCCAGCUGGAAACAGGAGGUAGAGAGAACUGAGUCAAAGAACCAUGUCCAGAGGCAGGAGGAUGGAUAUCAAAGAGAACCAGCAAACACAUCACAUGCACACACCGACUCCCAAGCAGCAUCAGAGGGGAGAGAAAAGUUCACCGGAUUUAAAGGAAUUGCUUAGCUUAUCUGCCUUCUAAUUUUCCCUCUGAAGCAACGAUGAAAAUAUCAGAUCAGACUUUACAAAUACUCUUUCUGUUGUUGUAAUUUCUGUGUGUGCCUGUGACGUGCUUAUUCCCUGCCAAGCUUACACUAUAUUAGGAAACUGUUCUGUAAAGCAUGUGACCCACCUUUCUGCACAACACACAAACCCAGGGGCUAGCCUAGCAAUGCUUUGUAAGAGCAGAUCAUCUCUUUGUACAGUUGUGAUUUUUAACAGAGCCUUGUAACAAUACUUGAAAAGAACAGCUCCUCCCCAACAAAGAGGGCAGCAUGGCUGAUAUGGCUGACUUUUCAAAUAACCUUGCAAGCAGGGACACAAGUGAGUAACAUGCUGGUUCAGAGGAUCUCAGAGCGGGAGCUGAAAGGGACCUUUGAAAUUGUCUAGUCCCAAACUCAUCUUACAGAUGAGGGAACUGAGGUAUAUCAGUUGAGUGUUUGGGUUGAACAUCACACAAGGAAUAGCGAGCUUCAUAUAGUGGGGAGAGA
This is a non-coding RNA of Monodelphis domestica (gray short-tailed opossum), 1071 nucleotides long. The record is from RefSeq and is a predicted model, not a curated record. Lineage: Eukaryota; Metazoa; Chordata; Mammalia; Didelphimorphia; Didelphidae.